RNAcentral lists this ribosomal RNA (404 nucleotides) under uncultured bacterium. RNAcentral's name for it is "bacterial SSU rRNA". It matches the Rfam family "Bacterial small subunit ribosomal RNA", at positions 355 to 776 of the family's 1533-position model. RNAcentral also lists the same sequence under 1 other name. The record is from RNAcentral.
UGGGGGAUAUUGCACAAUGGAGGAAACUCUGAUGCAGCGACGCCGCGUGAGUGAAGAAGUAUUUCGGUAUGUAAAGCUCUAUCAGCAGGGAAGAAAAUGACGGUACCUGACUAAGAAGCCCCGGCUAACUACGUGCCAGCAGCCGCGGUAAUACGUAGGGGGCAAGCGUUAUCCGGAUUUACUGGGUGUAAAGGGAGCGUAGACGGCGACGCAAGUCUGAAGUGAAAUACCCGGGCUCAACCUGGGAACUGCUUUGGAAACUGUGUUGCUAGAGUGCUGGAGAGGUAAGCGGAAUUCCUAGUGUAGCGGUGAAAUGCGUAGAUAUUAGGAAGAACACCAGUGGCGAAGGCGGCUUACUGGACAGUAACUGACGUUGAGGCUCGAAAGCGUGGGGAGCAAACAGG